Molecule: long non-coding RNA, 1120 nt
Organism: Sorex araneus (European shrew)
Lineage: Eukaryota; Metazoa; Chordata; Mammalia; Eulipotyphla; Soricidae
Exons: 3
Source: RefSeq, a predicted model, not a curated record
UGGAACAAAGGAGCUUGCAUUUGUUUGAACAGACCACUUCCCCGGGCACGCAGGGACGCUGGGUGCCCUUUGUUGCCGGAGAUUCAAUAAGCGGCCGGCAGUGGACAGGCCCAGGGAGCCCGCGGGAUGCAUCCCGGCGUCGCCCAGACUCGCUCGAGUCCAGCGGGGGCCGGACAGCCGCCUUUGCCCUUCGUCCGGGGCUCUCUAUAAUAACCCCACUAAGAAACUCUGGAUCCCGUUACGUCUCAUCCCGUUACGACUGCCGAGGAACCUGACCAGAGAAUGUUGCAUUCCCCUGCUGAAUUUCUCCUGCCAGAAUUGUGAUGCUCCAGUUCCAGUGCUCCCUGACUGAUCCAGUGCUUCCUAAAAUUUAUCGGACUCCUAAUAGCUGCUCCCCUGAGACUCAUUGCUGCAACCACUACUGGUGCUGUUACAGGAACAACUCUUCAUUUUUGAUCCAGAAGCUUCAUCUCUUCAGAACAGGACUAAAUGACUUAGAUGAACCGAGAGCCGAGGCACGAGAAACGGACCCUCCGCGCCUAUUGACUGUGAUCCUGAGGUCUCCUAACCCAUUUUGGCACCCGAGCGGAUGCUUGAGCCAUGCAUUUUGACUGUGAACUGAACUACAACCUCGUGCAGCCCGGGGGGGGAUUUUUUUCCCCUCUCCACCCCAUUUUUCUGAGCGAAAAUGGCGGCAGCGGUAGCAGCCACGCGGUAAGAGCCACCCUCUAAGACCCCUCCACCAGGAGGUAGGACUUUCUUUAGUGACGUAGCCUGUAGGUGGUCCUGGGAGGGGGGGCGUUCCCGGCGCGCCUUCCGCCCAGAGAUGAACCGAGAGCCGCGGCACGAGAAACGGACCCUCCGCGCCUAUUGACUGUGAUCCUGAGGUCUCCUAACCCAUUUUGGCACCAGAGCGGAUGCUUGCAGCCAUCCAUUUUGACUGUGAACUGAGCUAAAAUAUUAGAAACCCAAAAGUGAAGACUUAAAGUCUUCACUCUUAGCAAUGAAGAGAAAUUAUUAGAUGAUGCCUAUUCAGCAGGCCUGAUUGUUGGGGAAAAUUUCCAAUCAAUAAUAGUGAGUUCUGUAUGGAAAUGUGGAAUGUACUCAAUAUAUAGAGAGA